UACGUAGGGCGCAAGCGUUGUCCGGAAUUAUUGGGCGUACAGAGCUCGUAGGCGGCUUGUCACGUCGGGUGUGAAAGCCCGGGGCUUAACCCCGGGUCUGCAUUCGAUACGGGCUAGCUAGAGUGUGGUAGGGGAGAUCGGAAUUCCUGGUGUAGCGGUGAAAUGCGCAGAUAUCAGGAGGAACACCGGUGGCGAAGGCGGAUCUCUGGGCCAUUACUGACGCUGAGGAGCGAAAGCGUGGGGAGCGAACAGG
Molecule: ribosomal RNA, 253 nt
Filed under: uncultured bacterium
Lineage: Bacteria
Description: partial 16S ribosomal RNA
Rfam family: Bacterial small subunit ribosomal RNA
Source: RNAcentral